This 491-nucleotide ribosomal RNA is filed under the name uncultured bacterium. RNAcentral describes it as "partial 16S ribosomal RNA". It matches the Rfam family "Bacterial small subunit ribosomal RNA", at positions 29 to 507 of the family's 1533-position model. The record is from RNAcentral.
AGUGAACGCUGGCGGUAGGCCUAACACAUGCAAGUCGAACGGCAGCACAGUAAGCGCUUGCUCUUACGGGUGGCGAGUGGCGGACGGGCGAGGAAUACAUCGGAAUCUACUUUUUCGUGGGGAUAACGUAGGGACACUUACGCUAAUACCGCAUACGACCUACGGGUGAAAGCAGAGGAUCUUCGGACCUUGCGCGAUUGAAUGAGCCGAUGUCGGAUUAGCUAGUUGGCGGGGUAAAGGCCCACCACGGCGACGAUCCGUAGCUGGUCUGAGAGGAUGAUCAGACACACUGGAACUGAGACACGGUCAAGACUCCUACGGGAGGCAGCAGUGGGGAAUAUUGGAAAAUGGGCGAAAGCCUGAUCCAGACAUACCGCGUGGGUGAAGAAGGCCUUCGGGUUGAAAAGCCCUUUUGUUGGGAAAGAAAAGCAGCAGGUUAAUACCCAGCUGUUCUGACGGUACCCAAAGAAUAAGCACCGGCUAACUUCGUG